GUCUACAGGCAUACCACCCUGAACACUCCUAAUCUCAUCUGAUCUUUGAAGCUAAGCAGAACAGGGCCUGGUUAGUACUUCAAAGGGAGAAAUACCCAGAAUAUGCACAUC
RNAcentral lists this ribosomal RNA (111 nucleotides) under Jaculus jaculus (lesser Egyptian jerboa). The record is from RNAcentral. Lineage: Eukaryota; Metazoa; Chordata; Mammalia; Rodentia; Dipodidae.